AACAUACUCCCUCCGUCUGGAAAUACUAGUCAUCAAGAUGGAUAAAAAGGGUGUAUCUAGAUACAUUCCCUUUUAUUCAUCUUGAUGACUAGUAUUUCCGGACGAAGGGAGUAUUAG
This is a non-coding RNA of Triticum aestivum (bread wheat), 117 nucleotides long. The record is from Rfam. Lineage: Eukaryota; Viridiplantae; Streptophyta; Magnoliopsida; Poales; Poaceae.